GAUAAACGCUGGCGGCGUGCCUAACCCAUGCAAGUCGAGCGAUCUGUAGCAAUACAGAGAGCGGCGGAAGGGUGAGUAACACGUAGAGAUCUACCUCGACGGAGGGAACAACCCCGCGAAAGUGGGGCUAAUACCCAAAAGGAUCCGCAAGGAUCAGAGUCGCAAGGCCUGUCGAGAGGAAUCUGCGGCCCAUCAGCUAGUUGGUGAGGUAAAGGCUUACCAAGGCUACGACGGGUAGGGGGUCUGAGAGGACGUCCCCCCACACUGGAACUGAAACACGGUCCAGACGCCUACGGGUGGCAGCAGGGAGGAAUAUUGGUCAAUGGGGGAAACCCCGAACCAGCAACGCCGCGUGAGGGAAGAAGGCAUUCGUGUCGUAAACCUCUUUUAAGGGAGACGAGAAAGGACGGUAUCCCUGGAAUAAGUCACGGCUAACUACGUGCCAGCAGCCGCGGUAAUACGUAGGUGACGAGCGUUAUCCGGAUUUACUGGGCGUAAAGCGCUUGUAGGUGGCUUUGUAAGUUGGGCGUGAAAACACCGGGCUUAACUCGGUGACGCCGUCCAAUACUGCGAGGCUGGAGGAUGUC
This 587-nucleotide ribosomal RNA is filed under the name uncultured soil bacterium. RNAcentral's name for it is "bacterial SSU rRNA". It matches the Rfam family "Bacterial small subunit ribosomal RNA", at positions 28 to 652 of the family's 1533-position model. The record is from RNAcentral.